This 100-nucleotide ribosomal RNA is filed under the name uncultured bacterium. RNAcentral's name for it is "partial 16S ribosomal RNA". It matches the Rfam family "Bacterial small subunit ribosomal RNA", at positions 1384 to 1482 of the family's 1533-position model. The record is from RNAcentral.
UACACACCGCCCGUCACACCAUGGGAGCGGGCUGCUACAGAAGUCGCCGCGCCAACCCGCGGGGGGGCAGGCGCCUAAGAAGUGGUCCGUGACUGGGGUG